CCGUUAUUGUAGUAUUGUAGAUUUGAUUCCCAUACGAAAUUUUAAGGCGUAUUACCCCUGGAAAUCAGGCGUAAACCAGACGUAAGUGGUAGUUACGUGACUAGAUCCAGGCGUAAGGGAGCAGGAAACGUAAAUUUGUAGUCCUUACAGGCGUAGAAAAAAGCAGUAAACCUGGCGUAAAUUAAAAUAAAUUUUCUUACGGGCGUAAAUCUGUUGGUACGGCGUAAAUAGAAAUACCCAUAAUGCUUUGUUUAAAGGAUCAUGGGAUUUUUCAAAAUUUGGCUCUUUGGUUUUAGUUUGCAAGAGUAUUACAGACUAGGGGAAUGGUCCCCACCAUAUUACAGACUAGGGGAAUAGCUCUGGUAGCAUGGAUGGAGGCGAUCACAUACGGACACAUAAAAACACAUCAGCUUCCAUUUCUACAUUUUAAUCAGACAAAGAAUGACGUCACAAACAUAAAUACAAGAUACUGACAAAAGGGGAACAACUCUCUCUUACAAACAGAAACAUAAUCUGACCAUCACAUACUGAUAUAUAACAAGAGUUAGACUUGUGGCAGCUUUAUAUAUUCAGGGAUAAUUAGCUUGUUUUGUGAUUUUGGGAAGAAUUUGAAAUUGGAAAUACUGAAUCAAAUAAAUUAAUGAAAAUUGUGAAAUAAAAGGAAAGUAGUAAUACAUGGUAAAUAAUAAUAAUGUGUUAUGAUAAUAUUUAUUAAGUUUGAUGUUCUAUUCAGAAAUUUUGAAAUCCC
This 748-nucleotide long non-coding RNA is filed under the name Mytilus galloprovincialis (Mediterranean mussel). Lineage: Eukaryota; Metazoa; Mollusca; Bivalvia; Mytilida; Mytilidae. The record is from RNAcentral.